UCAGAAUUUUUCCGUGCUAUGACGCCAUCCUGGAGUGCACAAAGCACUUUGUACCUAUGUUUGUCCUGUGAAAAACUUCCAUGUGCACUCCAGGAUGGCGUCAUAUGGUGGUGUAUUUUCUCGUCAGCACUCGUAAAACUUCGGACAAAAUAUUGUCUGGGUGACACUCCUGGUCCAGUACCUAUUCCGGGCUUUAAUUGUCUUAUGAUUUAUCAUGAUGGGAUACAUUUCACUACACUUUACAUGGGGGAUCUUGGAACAAGGGCCGAUCCACUGAGCGAAAGAGCAUGGGUGGAAAAGAGUGAAGGAAAGGAAAGGCAAAGGCCUCUGUGGAGGAGACAGGGCACGCAACAUGUACGCACUGCGUACCUAUUUUUUAAAGAGUAGCUGUCAGUGCCUUUUUAAGGAAUUUAGCAGCGGGGGGGAAGAAAAAAAUUCUUCAAGACAGCAAAAAUGUCGGACGUCACGUUUUGAAAAAUUUGUUUGAAUUUGACAUUGCUAUUAUCAACAAACCGUCGAAAAGCGGAAAAUUAUCGUAAAAACGUCGUGAAAAAAUUUCCUUCGAAAAUAACCUUUACUUUGACACGAUGGCUUUGGUUAAAUUUGCUCGCAGCCCACAUCAGAUUAUAGGUCCACUAGCGGCUCGCAACUGAUCAAUCCAGAUCACUCGCUACGCGUAGGAAUUUGAUACAAGUUUUCCAACAUGGGAAGUAAACAAUUAAACAUGUUCUGCUUUUAUUUUUCUCAGAAUGGACAACCAAUAGACAUCCAAUAAAGAUCUUUCAAUUUUAUGUGACUAAAAUUUAAAAUCUAAAAUAACUAAAAUUUUUGGGUGAUGCAUUAUCUGUCUGAAGGCCAAUUUACACUAUACAACUUUUGCCCAAAGCCUGGUUUCCAUAUGGUCGUAACGGUCGUAAAGAUUGAGUCACGAUCUUUCUCAACAGCCGAAUGUAUAAUUUCAAUGUGGUUUAUAGGUAAAAACUAUUACCCUUUUCAAAUCGAGCGGAGGACUAGGUCUAGUCGCUUGUUUGGAGGGACAAAAAAUAAACAAUAUGCCGAAUAUGGCAUCUAGGAAGUUUUCCUACAUUCCUAAAGUUAUUUGUGCAGCCUGAAACGCAACAAUUUUAAAAAGGAAUCUUUUAAUAUAUAUUUAGCUCGCUCACUAUAACUUGUUGUCCCUCGAAACGUCCCUCCAAACAUCAAGUAGACCCAGUCCUCUGCUCGAGUGGGAAAUGGCUAAUUAUAAUCUGGCUGAUGAGAAAGAUCAUAACUUUAUCUUAUAUGAUCGUUACAACCAUAUAUGGAAACCUGGC
Non-coding RNA from Paramuricea clavata, 1313 nucleotides. NCBI's taxonomy places the organism in Eukaryota, Metazoa, Cnidaria, Anthozoa, Malacalcyonacea, Plexauridae. The record is from the annotation of a GenBank genome assembly.